This 3271-nucleotide long non-coding RNA is filed under the name Ananas comosus (pineapple). RNAcentral describes it as "long non-coding RNA (ACOM_LNC017202)". Lineage: Eukaryota; Viridiplantae; Streptophyta; Magnoliopsida; Poales; Bromeliaceae. The record is from RNAcentral.
AAAAAAAACACAAAACAAAACAAAAGUAGGGGAUAGAGAUGUGGAUGUGCGGGUAUCUGAAGUUUUUUGUAUGUAAUUUAACGAAACAUUAACAAAAAAACUGACGAAAAGAUAAAAAUAAAACCACAUGACACUAACUCGAUACUGGACUUUGGGUUGAACUGGACUUUGGGUUGAAUUGAAGUUCGGUCAAAACUACUUUUUCUCCGCUGUUUGUUUCGUAGUUAUGAAAGUAAAGUUCCAUCAGUUUUACUAUUUAUUUGGUAGGAAGUGUAUAAUAUAAAACUAUAAUAUAUAUAUAAAUAAUAAAUAUUUUAAUAAAUAAAAAUAAUAUAAUUAUAUUUUUAUAUAAUUAAAAUUUAAUUUAAAACAAUUAAAUUAUUUUUUCAUACAUAAAUUAUAGCAAUACAAUAAUAAAAUUAUAAAGUAAAAAAUAUUAAUACUUAAUUAAUCAAUUUUUAUCAUAUUUUAAAUAUACAAACUAAAUACAAAAUUAUUAAAACUUAACUAAUCAAUUUUUAUCAUAUUUUAGAUAUAUUAACUGAAUAAAAAAAAUAAUUAGUAACAUAAUUAAAUAUAUUUAAAUAUAACUAGUAUUAUCUAUUAUAUUAUUUUAUUAUUUUUUUUCAUUUUUCUUCACCGUAAUUUACUUCAGCCCUAAUUGAGAUUAACUCGAGUUUCGACUGUAACUUUUUUACGGCGAACCAAACAAUGGAAGUGAUCGUUUAGCGCGGAAACGACUUUCCCCCUCUCCACUUCCACCCCACUUCCAUCGAAACAAACAUACCCUAAAUCACAGGACAAUGAAGUGAGAAAGUGUAAAACCGCAGGUGUGGUAUUUGAAUUUAUCCCUUUUAUUAAUGAUAAUAAUUUUUUUUAUAUCUUAUCCAUCACGUGGGAUAAUGGAAAAGAAUCUAUCUAAUAUAUAUAUGUGAUGGGAAAUGUGAUGUGACUUUAAUGUGAAGCAUUUAAAACCACACGUAAAGACCUUUUGGGGGUCUACGUUGUAGAUAAGAAUCAUCAUUGCAUGCACCCAAUGCAUUGAUAAACAUCAUAUAGCUGAUAUAAAUAUUAUAUAAUAUUUUAAUUAUUAGUAUAUUCUCAAUCGCAAUAUUUAUAUUAUUUUUAUAGGGGCAAUUGCUUAUAUGUCCCUGAAAGGUUCCUGACUUUUCAGUUUAUUCUUCUUAGUAGGGGUGGAAACGAGCCGAGCUCGAGCGAGCUUACCUCGGCUCAAAUUCGGCUUGAAAUUAAUUUCGAGCCUAAAUUUAAGCUCAAGCUUGGAUUGAAAUUAAUUCGAGCCGAGCUCGAGCGAGCCUAAUUUCGAGUCGAACGAGCUCGAGCCCUAAACGAGCCGCUUGAAAUUCUCAACAUCAUACGAUCAAUAGUUUAAUUUGUAUAGAACAUUAUCUAUAAUUUGAUAUAAAAAUAUGUCUAAUAGUUCAAAGUACAAAAUAAUUAUAUAAAAAAUAGUAUUAUAAUAUAAAAAAAAAUAAUUUAUGAGUUGAAUAUCUAAUCUUUUCAGCCUCACAUGUCUUUUCUUCCGCCUUUAAUCUCCAUAUUAUUCAUUUUUAUUUAUGCAAUCAAAAAUAACUAAAUUAUAUAGAUAAAUAUUGGAUUAAACUAUCCAAUUAUAUAUAAUUAAAAUUAAAAUUUAUAUGAAUAAUAAUUUUUUACUUUAAAAAUAUUCUGUAUAUUUUCUCAAGUAUACAAUUAAUAGCAAGGUAGGCAACGGCGAGCAUAUACUGUUAUUUAGUAACUUGAAGGGCUUCCGGCUUGGCCACUUAGGGUGAGAGACAGAAAAAGAGAAAGAAUGAAACAUAUUAAAAAUUUAAACUCUGUAAAAGAAAGAAAGAAAGAAAAAAUAUAUAAAUUAAGUGAAAUUUCGCUCUUUUAUUUGUCUAUUAGGUUUGUUUUUAUAGGCCAACAACAUUAGCCUAAUUUUAACUAAACUUAGAUUAUUCACUCAGCCUAAAUAUAAUUAAAAUAUAUUAUAUUUAUAUAUUUUUUAAUAUAUAUAUAUAUAUAUAUAUAUAUAUAUAUUCGAGCUUUUCGAGCUUUUCGAGCCUAAUUCGAACGAGCCGAGUAAUACUCAAGCUCGGCUUGAAAUGAAUUUCGAGCUUUUUUUUUGUUCAAGCUCGGCUUAUUUAAUUUCGAGUCGAGCUCGAGCGAGCCAAAUAUCGAGUCGAACGCGAGUCGAACACGAGCCGGCUCGCUCAUUUGCCAGCCCUACUUCUUAGAAGAUUAAUAUUGAAAAUAUUUUUUCUACGUUCCAAUAUAUUUCUAAUAUACUCAUAGAGUUAAAAUUUGUUACUUAACUAUAUUAUCUCUAUAAAAUUACUAUUUUUCCCUUUCAAAUAUACCGUUCCACCAUCACUGACUUUCUUAUUUGCCCUUAAAGUCAGGGUCUCAAAAAGUAUUUUAACUUUUGGUCUUUUCCAAUAUACCCCUCUACCGUCACCAAUAUUUUUUAUUUGCUCUUAAGUUAAGGGCAAAAUUUGCAUUUUAAUUUUGUUUAACUGUAGUAGAUAUUUAACUCAUAUUUAACCCAAGUUAACUUAACAGGAGAUAACUGUGGGAAUAUUUUACAAUAACUAUAGAACAUAUGAGGGGUAUUUUAGAAAUAAAAAAGAAGUAGGAAAUAAAUCGAAAAUUUUCAAACGUACGAAGGGUAUAUAGGCAAUUAUCCCAUUUCUAUAUUACUAAUAUAUCAAUAAUUAGCCAACUAUUGUAUUAAUAAUUUUGAAAGUUCAGAUAAAAAAUUGCAGAAAUUCUUAAAGAUUGAGGAGCAAAUUGUCCAUCAACUCAUAGUUUGAGGACCAAAUUAAUGUGCAAUUUACCCUAUAUAUAUAUAUAUAUAUAUAUAAAACAAAUUUUUAAGGGAAAACUUCAAAAAACCCCCCUGUGGUUUCUUAAUUUCUCACUUUGCCCCCCUGUGGUUUAAAUGUAUCAAUUUGUCCUCCUGUAGUUUUGUUUUUCUCUUUUUCUUAUCAAUUUCAUUAUUUUUUUUCUUUAAAUUAGUAAUAAAGUUAAAAUUAAAGGGUACUAAAGUGAAUAUUUGAUAAAUAUAGAUGGGUAUCUGAAGUUUUUUGUAUAUAAUUUAACGAAAUAUUAACGAAAAAGCUAUCAAAAAGAUAAAAACGAAACCACAGAGGGGCAAAUUGAUACACUUUAAACUACAGGGGGGCAAAGUGAGAAACUACGAAACCACAGGGAGGGUUUUGAAGUUUUGCCAAUUUUUAAAAGUGUUGACUAGUCAAAGAAUUGCUUUUAU